Molecule: long non-coding RNA, 1152 nt
Filed under: Junco hyemalis (dark-eyed junco)
Lineage: Eukaryota; Metazoa; Chordata; Aves; Passeriformes; Passerellidae
Description: lncRNA (ENSJHYG00000008699.1)
Source: RNAcentral
AUGAAGAAGUGCCUCCCACCUCCCCAGGUAACCUGCCCCGCUUCCGAGGGGCAGUCCCACGGCAAUGGCACAGCCUCAUCAGACCCUGGGGCUGCCGUCGCCGUGCCCACCGCGGGGUCAGCCCCCGCCGCCUCUACAGCAGGGAUGCGAUGCAGAGAUGCUGGUCCCGUCCCCACGUCCUGGAACGAGGGUCCAGCCGCUGCCCUCCCCACACGGGGAGCUCCAGCCCACGGGAUGCUGGUCCGAGGCUCCUCACUCCCUGCCCCUCUACCACGGGUCCAUAUGCCCCUCGGCGCCGCCACCGCUCGAACCGCCCGGGGCCGGGGUCCCCCGCUGCGCCCCCGGCUCCACCUGGACGAUCGGGAGGGUCCGCGCGGUUGCGUCCGCGGAGCAGGCAGGGGAGCGCGGCGGGGACCGGCGAUGCCACGGGCCGGGCCGGGCACGGGCCGGCGGUGUCACCGCAGGGAGCGGAGCGCCCGGCGGAGCCCCCGCUCGGGGCAGGGGACAUCUGCACUGCGUCUUCCAGCAAGGGAUGGAGCAGGAUGGAGGCUGGUUGUCAGGAGCUCUGGAAAAGUGUGGAUUACAACCCAACUUUAACACUGAAGCAGCUGCUGGUUUGAAUGUGGACUGACAUCUGAGAGCACCUCAAGACACACAUUGGUUGAUGAAACAACACAAAGAAAAGCUGGAGGCUGUGCCAAAUAGUUCAUAACCAUGGAGGAAAACUUGGCAGAGGAGCAGAGAAAGGAAGGGAGGAAUUAAUGCUAAAACAUGUGUCUGAGUGGUUUUGAUGUGUUUGUUUCAUGUUAGCUUUCUUAGAUGUUGUCAGCUGUUGCUAAGUUUUGUACACCUAACAGCAAAGAUGGUAUUAAUGAAAAUAGACCCAGUAUGGGAAGAGGGCAUUUACUGAAUUUAGAAGUCUAUCCAGAUCCCUUUCGCUGUUAGAUGGAUUUUAUUAUAAAAAAAUCUACCUUUUUGAUUUGGAGUCACCCAACAAAACCAGUCCUUGGCUGAGAUGGAUGUUUGACUUGAGUUCUGACGUUCUCUUUUUCUUCUUUUUAAACUAAAAAAAACCUUAACUUUAAAAAAAUGAUACAGUAUUUGCAGAAUCAAUAGAAAAGCUGACCCAGAUAAAAGUGUGCAAAAAUUGGU